Molecule: unclassified non-coding RNA, 344 nt
Filed under: soil metagenome
Description: partial contains 5.8S ribosomal RNA, internal transcribed spacer 2, and large subunit ribosomal RNA
Rfam family: 5.8S ribosomal RNA (bases 1-120)
Source: RNAcentral
GAUGAAGAACGUAGCGAAAUGCGAUAAGUAAUGUGAAUUGCAGAAUUCAGUGAAUCAUCGAGUCUUUGAACGCACAUUGCGCCCCCUGGUAUUCCGGGGGGCAUGCCUGUCCGAGCGUCAUUGCUGCCCUCAAGCACGGCUUGUGUGUUGGGCCCCGUCCCCUCCCCCGGGGACGGGCCCGAAAGGCAGCGGCGGCACCGCGUCCGAUCCUCGAGCGUAUGGGGCUUUGUCACCCGCUCUGUAGGCCCGGCCGGCGCCAGCCGACACCCAACUUUUAUUUCUAAGGUUGACCUCGGAUCAGGUAGGGAUACCCGCUGAACUUAAGCAUAUCAAUAAGCGGAGGA